AAGUGACAGGUGGUGCAUGGUUGUCGUCAGCUCGUGUCGUGAGAUGUUGGGUUAAGUCCCGCAACGAGCGCAACCCUUAAGCUUAGUUGCCAUCAUUAAGUUGGGCACUCUAGGUUGACUGCCGGUGACAAACCGGAGGAAGGUGGGGAUGACGUCAAAUCAUCAUGCCCCUUAUGAUUUGGGCUACACACGUGCUACAAUGGACAAUACAAAGGGCAGCUAAACCGCGAGGUCAUGCAAAUCCCAUAAAGUUGUUCUCAGUUCGGAUUGUAGUCUGCAACUCGACUACAUGAAGCUGGAAUCGCUAGUAAUCGUAGAUCAGCAUGCUACGGUGAAUACGUUCCCGGGUCUUGUACACACCGCCCGUCACACCACGAGAGUUUGUAACACCCGAAGCCGGUGGAGUAACCAUUUAUGGAGCUAGCCGUCGAAGGUGGGACAAAUGAUUGGGGCGAAGUCGUAACAAGGUAGCCGUAUCGGAAGGUGCGGCUGGAUCACCUC
Molecule: ribosomal RNA, 501 nt
Filed under: uncultured bacterium
Lineage: Bacteria
Description: bacterial SSU rRNA
Rfam family: Bacterial small subunit ribosomal RNA
Source: RNAcentral